UUUCUUUUUCUUUUACAUUCAUUAGCCAUCAGAGAUAACAUUUAUCAAGUUUCUACAGGUUUUAAUUCGUUUUGCAAUCACAUAACCCCAGGAAACAGAGACCAUCCCCACUUUACAGAAGAGGGGCUUGGAGACCCAGAGAGGUUUAAAUCACUUUGCUAAGGUCACACAGCUGGAAGUCUGCAGUGGACCCAAGGUGGUCGAACUCCAGGACCGCCUUGACCACUACAUUAAGUGGCUCCGUAUGGCUACAUUUUUUUUCCCACGUUGUUAAAGAGUGACUAAUGCUGCCUGCCAUCUGUUACCAAGUCCGGUGGCUUUUCCUUCAGCUCCCUCCCGGAAUUGCAGCGCUCCGAACGCCCAUCCCCCCGCCAGAAGCACUUCCUGGCUCAAGCUAUGGCACCCACAGCUGCCACUGAGGCACCAACCAUCUCUGGGCUUCUGGGCCCCAGCACUGCAGGUUCCAACGGCGGAGAAUUCCGUAUGGAGGCUCUUCUUUGUCCUCUGUGCUCACCUGCACACUGCGUGGCCAUAGCUCCCAGCGUGCUCCGCCUCAGACCUCUCCUCCUUCAAAACCCCCAUCCCACCUUCUGUCUCACAUCAGAGCCGACUCUGAAGCCGUUGCCUGUGCCUGGAAUGCUCUCACCCCUCUCACGAAUUCUCUCCCUUUUUGGUACACAGACAGCUUCUGAAACUCCUAUUGGUCCGUGGAAUUUUUCUCUGCUGAUACAGGAGCAAGAGCUGUUCUCCACUUUGCCGAUUCAGAGUAGCUCCUGGAGUCCAGCCUGGCUGAGGCUUGGGGUCCACCACUUACUAGCCCUAUAAACUUGGGCAGGUUUCUAAGUCUCAAUACCUCCUCAUUGGCAUGGGAUAUUCAUACCUGCAGUCAAAGGAUUGUUAUGAGAUUUAAAUAACAUAAUCCAUGAAACGCUCCUAGCACAGAGCUGGCACAAAGCAUUAGGUCUGAUGGCUCACCCUCCCUGCUCCUGCUCCCUCCCUUUAUCCUUCACAGGUCCAAGAAAAUGGAUGAGGUUUUGGGACUGACUCCCUCACUGCCCAAGAGGCAAAGAGGAUGGUCACAUCUGUACCACUUACAAAGUAUGUGAUCACAUAGGUGAUGUCGUCUAAUUAUCACAGCAGCCCUGUGGGGUGUGUUAACUGGAGCUCAGCAGUCUACCUGAACCGUGGGGCACACCGAGGGAGGAUGCUGCAGUGAGUUGCAAGGGUCCCCAAUGGCUGCGUGGAGCCACCCCCUUGCCUGAACUGCUGCCCUCCAGACUUCCACCCUGUGAGGAGGAAUCAUGCUGAAGGGUAAAGCACGACACCUUCAGGGCACCCAUUCCAGAAAGAGAGACCCUCUCUACAGAGUAUGAGAACCCCAACCCCUGACGUAGCUGAUGGCACAAGGUUCCCCUUCAGGACACAUUCUGCUUCUCUGCUUUCCCGGUGCCUGCAGGUUGAAUCUGGACUUUGCUCGGACAGGAUCCGGUCCAGAUGAGGACAUGGCAGCCUCUGGGGAGAGCAGCAUCUACGCCUACUCCUUGACUGAUAGACUAGUGCAGGUGCCUGCCUGGAGGCGUGCUUCUCAAUCUACCCAUGGGGAAGGACCAGCUUUCAAAGGUCCAACCUGUCGUGGGCUGAUACUUUAGUAAAAUACAAUUAAAAUGAAAUUUUAAAAAAGACAUGAAUCUCAUAUUUUUAAUUAUUAGAUUGAACAGACAUAAAAUAACUCUGUCAAAUGGCUAUAAAAUUUCUCAUCACAGUUGCUCUCAGGUUCUGUACUUGCCUCAUUGAGGACUGGUAACAAUCCACAGACCAGCACUGGUCUGUUGACCACACUUUGGGUAGUAUGGACCUUUUAACCUAUACCCAAAAGGAAUAUUAUAUGUGUGGCAUGUAUAUUUAUAAAAAUGUUUAGAUAGAUUAAGUAACUCUGUAUUAGAAAAUUUUUAUUUUGAACAAUC
This 1964-nucleotide long non-coding RNA is filed under the name Equus asinus (donkey). RNAcentral's name for it is "lncRNA (ENSEASG00005028643.1)". Lineage: Eukaryota; Metazoa; Chordata; Mammalia; Perissodactyla; Equidae. The record is from RNAcentral.